AAAAAGGCCCUUUUAAGGGCCAUCACAUUAAGAAAAAAGGUGUG
Molecule: non-coding RNA, 44 nt
Organism: Lingula anatina
Lineage: Eukaryota; Metazoa; Brachiopoda; Lingulata; Lingulida; Lingulidae
Source: Rfam